GUCCUCCUGCAUAAGGGAAACGACGAUUAAAAACUUUCCCCUCCCCCAUUUCCUCAACUCUUCAGUUCUGGCAUUCAGGGAUAGGUCUGUUCCAGGUGACAUGCAAAGCUAAGGAAAAUAAUGGUAGCCAGCUCGGUAUCAUCACUCUUUUCCUGAAACUACUGGCUGUGAUUUUGAUAAAGAACAUUGGCCAAGAAAUACAUAAUUCAACAUACAUAUACUUGAAUUGCCCCAAAAUAAAGAUUAUUGAAUCUCUGAACAAAAACCAAAGAGGAGUAAAUCCACCCUG
Molecule: long non-coding RNA, 289 nt
Organism: Ailuropoda melanoleuca (giant panda)
Lineage: Eukaryota; Metazoa; Chordata; Mammalia; Carnivora; Ursidae
Exons: 3
Source: RefSeq, a predicted model, not a curated record